Molecule: unclassified non-coding RNA, 325 nt
Filed under: Calothamnus sanguineus
Lineage: Eukaryota; Viridiplantae; Streptophyta; Magnoliopsida; Myrtales; Myrtaceae
Source: RNAcentral
CAUUUUCGUUUUUUUCGCUACCGGUAUAUUUGGGGACGCGCGGCACCAUGACACGGGCGUCGGGCUCGGAACGAGCUUUCCGAAGAGUACUCACGGGCCCCGAGAGUCCAUCGGGAUCGAAAGAUAUGCACGUGAAGGCGGAGACGCGCGGAUUCCGUUCACUGAGUAAUUAAAUUUUUCGAAUUUCGUCGUAUGCAAGUGGUCUCCCUUUAAUUGCUCGGAAAUUGCGCGACGGGCCCUCGAAAGCGGGAAGUUGAGCGGUCGAGGCUUUUCGCGAGAAGAGAAAGAAAUUCGCUUCAAGUAAAUUUGCAAUGCGUAACAUGAC